RNAcentral lists this ribosomal RNA (564 nucleotides) under Ursus arctos (brown bear). Its description in RNAcentral is "partial 16S ribosomal RNA". Lineage: Eukaryota; Metazoa; Chordata; Mammalia; Carnivora; Ursidae. The record is from RNAcentral.
GUUGCCCAGAAUAGAAUUUUAGUUCAACUUUAAACUUGCCUACAAAACUCAAAAAUUUUAAUGCAAGUUUAAAAUAUAUUCUAAAAAGGUACAGCUUUUUAGAAUCAAGGAUACAACCUUACUUAGAGAGUAAAUACUGAUUAAAUCAUAGUAGGCCUAGAAGCAGCCAUCAAUUAAGAAAGCGUUUAAGCUCAACACCUAUAUCAACCUAAUACCAAAAAUAUCCAAUUAACUCCUAAUAUAAUAACUGGGCUAAUCUAUUUAAAUAUAGAAGCAACAAUGCUAAUAUGAGUAACGAGAAGUACUUCUCCAACGCAUAAGCUUAUAACAGCAACGGAUAACCACUGAUAGUUAACAACAACGUAGAAAUAAUCCAACAAUAAAACACCUACCAAACCAAUUGUUAAUCCAACACAGGUAUGCGACUAAGGAAAGAUUAAAAGAAGUAAAAGGAACUCGGCAAACACAAACCCCGCCUGUUUACCAAAAACAUCACCUCCAGCAUUCCCAGUAUUGGAGGCACUGCCUGCCCGGUGACAUCAGUUAAACGGCCGCGGUAUUCUG